RNAcentral lists this ribosomal RNA (388 nucleotides) under uncultured bacterium. RNAcentral describes it as "bacterial SSU rRNA". It matches the Rfam family "Bacterial small subunit ribosomal RNA", at positions 30 to 419 of the family's 1533-position model. The record is from RNAcentral.
AUUGAACGCUGGCGGCAUGCCUUACACAUGCAAGUCGAACGGCAGCACGGGGGCAACCCUGGUGGCGAGUGGCGAACGGGUGAGUAACAUAUCGGAACAUACCCUAGAGUGGGGGAUAACGUAGCGAAAGUUACGCUAAUACCGCAUACGAUCUAAGGAUGAAAGUGGGGGAUCUUCGGACCUCAUGCUCAUGGAGUGGCCGAUAUCUGAUUAGCUAGUUGGUGAGGUAAAGGCUCACCAAGGCGACGAUCAGUAGCUGGUUUGAGAGAACGACCAGCCACACUGGAACUGAGACACGGUCCAGACUCCUACGGAGGCAGCAGUGGGGAAUUUUGGACAAUGGGGGCAACCCUGAUCCAGCAAUGCCGCGUGAGUGAAGAAGGCCUUC